AUUGAACGCUGGCGGCAGGCCUAACACAUGCAAGUCGAACGAGUGGCGGACGGGUGAGUAAUGUCUGGGAAACUGCCUGAUGGAGCGGGAUAACUACUGGAAACGGUAGCUACUACCGCAUACCAUCGGAUGUGCCCAGAUGGGAUUAGCUAGUAGGUGGGGUAAAGGCUCACCUAGGCGACGAUCACUAGCUGGUCUGAGAGUAUGACCAGCCACACAGGAACUUAGACAAGGUCCAUACUGUGACGGGAGGCAGCGGUGGGGAAUAUUGCACAAUGGGCGGAGGCCUGAUGCAGCCAUGGCGCGUGUAUGAAGAAGGCCUUCGGGUUGUAAAGGACUUUCAGCGGGGAGGCGUUACCCGCAGAAGAAGCACCGGCUAACUCCGUGCCAGCAGGCGCGGUAAUAC
RNAcentral lists this ribosomal RNA (406 nucleotides) under uncultured bacterium. RNAcentral's name for it is "partial 16S ribosomal RNA". It matches the Rfam family "Bacterial small subunit ribosomal RNA", at positions 30 to 526 of the family's 1533-position model. The record is from RNAcentral.